Myripristis murdjan (pinecone soldierfish) is the source of this 418-nucleotide non-coding RNA. The record is from the annotation of a RefSeq genome assembly. NCBI's taxonomy places the organism in Eukaryota, Metazoa, Chordata, Actinopteri, Holocentriformes, Holocentridae.
UUUGGUGGAGGAACCAGACUGAAUGUUGACUUGGGUAACGCCCCUCCCACCCUGACGGUGCUGCCCCCCUCCAGAGAGGAGCUGCAGCAGGGGAGGGCCACGCUCAUGUGCCUGGCCAACAAGGGCUUCCCCUCAGACUGGAGGCUGGCCUGGAAGGUGGACGGCAGCAGCAGCAGCAGCAGCAGCAGCUGGGAGCAGAGCAGGAGCCCCGGGGUGCUGGAGAAGGACGGCCUCUACAGCUGGAGCAGCACCCUGAGGCUCACUGCAGACCAGUGGAGGAAGCUGGGCUCUGUCACCUGUGAGGCCACCCAGGGCUCCCAGGCUCUGCAGGCCGAGACACUGAGGAGAGACCAGUGUCCCCAGUAACUGACCUGACUCACUGGGACUUCUGCUACUGGUUUCACUCUGCAGCUGCUCU